Molecule: long non-coding RNA, 1038 nt
Organism: Scophthalmus maximus (turbot)
Lineage: Eukaryota; Metazoa; Chordata; Actinopteri; Pleuronectiformes; Scophthalmidae
Exons: 5
Source: RefSeq, a predicted model, not a curated record
GUACUGUAGGGUCAACAUAAAAAAAUGACAAAAGAAAUGCAGUUACUGUUGUUGAUUUUGUAUAUUCAAUUUAUUCAAUUCAUGAGAGCACCACAAAUGAAACAGAAGUUUCUGUAUUCUUGAUCUAAAAUUAUUAUUUCAAAAUCAUGCCAUAAACUGUCAAGAAUAAGUUCUACUUUGGUGACUUUUUCUUGCAGGCAGUUGCAAUUGGCUAGUUUGUGUUCUUGAUGGCAAAACAGAAAGCCUGUAGCCAAAGUGGUUUCAAUUUUGUAUCACACAACUCAAGCAGCAGCAUGUCUGUUCUAAAUGGCACGUUUGAUUCUUGAGGAAGAUCCUUGACCAUCUGAAGCUUUCCGUUUGAUGCUCUGCACUUCAAGUCCUGCAGCCUGCAUGGAAGAUCAAAACCAUGGGCCGCACAAGACAUACUCUCAACUUGCUCUAUGUCUGUUUGUCUCUUUUACGUUGCUGUGGAGAACAGUACCGUGCUGACAAUACGCAUCAAUCCAACAGCGCAAAACAAGAAUAAAUAGUUGCUCCAUUGUCACACAAAGUAAACUGAAAGAAAACUUCAAAGGCAACAACCACUCCUGUGAUCAACAAUCGCUAUUAUAUAAUGUAAGCCAGUCAAAUGCAGCACCACAACCAUCAUUAAAGCGUUCUGGCUGAUCACACGCUUUAAUUGGACCGUGCGAGGGGCCUGGGCAAAAUGGCGGCUUGUUAGCUCAGCUGCAGAGCAGAGUGAAUGUACAGACAAGCAAGCAAACAAAUGAGGAUAUAAACAAACCCCAUGGAAGCUCACUUGGAACCUUGGGUCUGCUAAGAAGCAAAGCAGUGUUUCAAGACGAGGUGAAGGUCCCAUAUUUUCCUGAAGCAAGACUCCACUUUGGUCAUGUGGGAAAAUAAAAUGCAUGUCGCCCCUGCGUUGAAACCAAGCAGUCAAAGGCGAACAGCACAUGCUGACUUUGUUGGCGGAACAGCUGCGGAAGGAAUAUUCAACACACCUUCUGUAUUUUAUUCAUGUUCAAAAUAAAGCUUGAC